Long non-coding RNA from Pollicipes pollicipes, 744 nucleotides. RefSeq lists it as uncharacterized. The transcript is spliced from 4 exons. Lineage: Eukaryota; Metazoa; Arthropoda; Thecostraca; Pollicipedomorpha; Pollicipedidae. The record is from RefSeq and is a predicted model, not a curated record.
GCGCCUGGCCGCCGCCGCCGCUAUAAAGGCGCCCGCGGGCUGCUCGGCACGCUCAGAGUGUGACCAGGAGUGUCGUGUCGCCCACAGUGCUCCCGUCCGAAGAUCGCCAAGAUGAUGCGUACGCUGUUUCUGGCAGUUGCCGUGGGCCUGCUGUCGUCCAGUUCAGCUGCACCUCAGGGGAGACCGCGCCAACCAAUGAUGGCGGUCAUGCACGACAUGGUUGAUCUCGGAAUGAUGCCGGUGCGGCUGACCAUGGGCGCGCUGGUCGGCGGCGGGCGGAUGAUCCACCGCAACAUGGUGAUGCCGAUGACGAGGGGGGCGCGCUCCUUCAUGCCCCGUCUCCGGAGCACGUUCACCAACCAGUGACGGUCACCGACUGCACCGUCCACGUAUUCAGUACCUGCCACCAUCAGCUCAUCUGCUUGACGAAGCAUCACUGGCAUCAAGUUCGUGUGAUUACGACGUCACACAGACCCAGAAUUUCAAACGUCAGCUGCCAGGGGCCAUUGUAGCCCGUUCCCGACCGCCAGAGGCUAUUGCAGCCCUCUGCCUGACGCCAGGGGCUAUUGGAGCCCUCUCCCGGCCGCCAGGGGCUAUUGGAGCCCUCUCCCGGCCGCCAGGGGCUAUUGGAGCUCUCUCCCGGACGCCAGGGGCUAUUGGAGCCCUCUCCCGGCCGCCAGGGGCUACUGGAGCCCUCUCCCGGCCGCCAGGGGCUAUUGGAGCCAUCUCCCGGCCGCCAGGGGC